This 265-nucleotide long non-coding RNA is filed under the name Gossypium raimondii (Peruvian cotton). RNAcentral describes it as "long non-coding RNA (GRAI_LNC006069)". The record is from RNAcentral. Lineage: Eukaryota; Viridiplantae; Streptophyta; Magnoliopsida; Malvales; Malvaceae.
GGUAAAGUAAUGAAAAAUAUGUUCUAAUUUUCUCCUUUUCUCUUCUUUUUUUGUUUUCUCUUCUUUUCUUCCUUUAUUUUCCUCUCGCGGUAGCAACCAUGGGUAACAACCACUCUCCUUUUCUUCUCUUCCUUUCUUCUCAAAUUAACAUGGUAUCAAAGUCACUAAAAUCUCAUCGCCCCCGCCACUGAAAUACCCAUCCUUAGUCGACCCUCCAACCAAGACCCUGUCAUCGUAAUCCACACGUGUGAGCCACAUGUGCCAC